CUGUGCCAUCGAAAGUGAAAAGGCACCUCCAUUGUUAAGUGGCAGGAAACCAGAUGAUUCAGGAAAUCCAGUCCCUUUAUUGUGUGAAGGACUUCCCACCGUGGCAAGGUUUUACACUCCGAGGGCAAAAACUGUAAAAAUAAAACCCACUCAUUUAUCGCCUCCAUGUUUCUUGUUAUUUUUACUCACAAUUGAAUUCCACUGAAAAAUGCACCAAAGAGACCAAUCAUUCCCAG
Molecule: long non-coding RNA, 236 nt
Organism: Peromyscus maniculatus bairdii (prairie deer mouse)
Lineage: Eukaryota; Metazoa; Chordata; Mammalia; Rodentia; Cricetidae
Source: RefSeq, a predicted model, not a curated record